Molecule: ribosomal RNA, 540 nt
Filed under: uncultured bacterium
Lineage: Bacteria
Description: partial 16S ribosomal RNA
Rfam family: Bacterial small subunit ribosomal RNA
Source: RNAcentral
UGGGGAAUUUUGGACAAUGGGCGAAAGCCUGAUCCAGCAAUGCCGCGUGUGUGAAGAAGGCCUUCGGGUUGUAAAGCACUUUUGUCCGGAAAGAAAUCCUUGGCUCUAAUACAGUCGGGGGAUGACGGUACCGGAAGAAUAAGCACCGGCUAACUACGUGCCAGCAGCCGCGGUAAUACGUAGGGUGCAAGCGUUAAUCGGAAUUACUGGGCGUAAAGCGUGCGCAGGCGGUUUGCUAAGACCGAUGUGAAAUCCCCGGGCUCAACCUGGGAACUGCAUGUGGACUGGCAGGCUAGAGUAUGGCAGAGGGGGGUAGAAUUCCACGUGUAGCAGUGAAAUGCGUAGAGAUGUGGAGGAAUACCGAUGGCGAAGGCAGCCCCCUGGGCCAAUACUGACGCUCAUGCACGAAAGCGUGGGGAGCAAACAGGAUUAGAUACCCUGGUAGUCCACGCCCUAAACGAUGUCAACUAGUUGUUGGGGAUUCAUUUCCUUAGUAACGUAGCUAACGCGUGAAGUUGACCGCCUGGGGAGUACGGUCGC